Molecule: long non-coding RNA, 1986 nt
Filed under: Daucus carota (carrot)
Lineage: Eukaryota; Viridiplantae; Streptophyta; Magnoliopsida; Apiales; Apiaceae
Description: long non-coding RNA (DCAR_LNC004127)
Source: RNAcentral
UUUGGUUCCUUGACACCUUAUCUUCAAAGCAUCCCAUAUCUCCUUAGCAGUCUUGCAGCCAAUGACCCUAUUAGACGUAACAUUGUCAAGAACAAUAUGUAACAAAUGCCUUAUCUUGACAUCCUUGCUAAUAAGAACAAUAUGGAAUCAUUUUCUGUUACUGAUGAUCUCCGACUACAAGAGAAAGUUUUGUUGGCAUAUGAGUACCAUCAUAAAUCCUGUCUAAGUAUUUCAAAAUCUAUGGCUUCUAGAAAUAUAGUCAUUUUUACUUUCCAAACAAGAUAUUCAGAUGUCCACAAUAUGGGAACCCUGAUAGAUUCAAAACUACUGUUGGUUGGAGUUUGUGUUUUUUCAAGCAUGAUUGUACAAUUUUUGGAUCUUGACUGUUUGUUAAUUAACAAAUUGGCUCUGAUACCAAUUGUUAGGUCUCAAACCACUAUAAAAGGGGGUUGAAUAUAAUGGAUAUAAUCAAAUUCGAAAUUAAAACACAAAACAAAACUUCAACUUUUAUUCAAUUAAAAAAAAUCUGAUACAAUGGUAGAAUAACUAUUCUCUCAUUGAUUUAUAAUUUAUCGCCAAGAGCUGUUAUGUUACAAGGGUGAUGAUGUUCUAUUCGAUAACACAUCUAGUGUAAAGCUAUUUGUGUUUAUAUAACACAUAGUUACAAAAUAAUCAUUGUUUGAUACUAUACUGAUUUUCCUUCUAAGAUACAUCAAUCAGAGAUUCUAUACUAAUCUUUCCUAAAGUCUCCAACCGUGAUUUCUCUAUAAUAUAUAUAUAUAUAUAUAUAUAUAUACACAAUUAGUGUAGAUCUUCUCCUAAAAAUUAGCCGCUUGUAUAAUCUGAGAUACCUUCCUUGUCUUAAACUCUGAUAUCUACUCUGUCUCCAGCAAACUCUAAUCUUUAAUAAAAGUCUGAUCUUUCAAAUAAACUCUGAUCUGAUUGUUAACGUUAUAAAAGAAGUUAAGUGUGAUAUCAUCAAAUAUAUAACAAGAACUAUAUGUUGGAGGAAGCAAAGUUACCUACAUAUUUCUGGGCUAAAGUAGUCAACAAAGCAUGCUAUACUCACAAUAUCAGUCUAAUCAAUGGAAUAACACCAUAUCAGAGUCUGAAAGAGAAGAAACCAAGCCUGUAUUUUGUCUCUGCUUUCAUAAUGUGCUUGACAUGCAUCCAACAGACUACAAAAUCUCAACAAAAUCUUUGAAGAUUUCUUUAAAGUCGGCCUCUUCAGCUCAUUUAUAGAAUUAUAGGCAUACCAAUGUAACUCCCACACUUCCGUCAUCUUGUACACACAUGACAUCAACUAAUCUCUUAAACCAUUAAAUAUGCAAAAAAAAAAACUCAUAACUUUUAUCAAACACUUAGAAGACACACGUAUAAAUCCGAAAGAUAUAAAACAAUCAUGUAUAUAAAUUUAAACUUGUGAUAAACUUAAGAAUGGAGAGAGAGAUCCGCUUGGGUUCAACGUGAUGAGCUAAAAUUCAUCAAACAUAAUAAUAAUUAAUGAAAAUUGUAUCAAAAGCAAAAACAAAAAUUGAUGACAAACGUAACAGAAAAGAGAGACACCUUCUGGUUUUGCAAAGGAUGAGCUAAAAAAAAAAAAAAAAGCAACAACAAAUAAUGAAAUUUUGAUAACAAAAAAUAAGAAUAACAAAAAAAGAGGAAGAAAGACAUGUAAUGGACAAAGAAUGACCUGAAAACAAAACCAUACCAAUAUCAGGAGAGAAUAACCUUCUCCUCCUGCAAAGAAUUUAGGUGCAAAUAAAACAGCAAGAUAAAGAUAGGUGACUAACGAAAUUCAAAUGAAACGAAACAAUGAGGGAGACAAAGCGAGGGAGAGACUUAGAGCAAGAUUUGAAAUUGAAUUUUGAAUAUUGAGCUUAAUUUCAGUGGGCAAAGUGAAGAAGACACAUAUACUACAAACUUAUAUCCUUAAAAACCGGACUGCAGUAUAGAUAAGAAAGUUGUGUACAUGGGGCAUAUGAG